Molecule: ribosomal RNA, 429 nt
Filed under: Pseudomonadota bacterium
Lineage: Bacteria; Pseudomonadati; Pseudomonadota
Description: Proteobacteria bacterium partial 16S ribosomal RNA
Rfam family: Bacterial small subunit ribosomal RNA
Source: RNAcentral
UGGGGAAUAUUGGACAAUGGGCGAAAGCCUGAUCCAGCCAUGCCGCGUGUGUGAAGAAGGUCUUCGGAUUGUAAAGCACUUUAAGUUGGGAGGAAGGGCAGUAAGCGAAUACCUUGCUGUUUUGACGAUACCGACAGAAUAAGCACCGGCUAACUCUGUGCCAGCAGCCGCGGUAAUACAGAGGGUGCAAGCGUUAAUCGGAAUUACUGGGCGUAAAGCGCGCGUAGGUGGUUCGUUAAGUUGAAUGUGAAAGCCCCGGGCUCAACCUGGGAACUGCAUCCAAAACUGGCGAGCUAGAGUAGGGCAGAGGGUGGUGGAAUUUCCUGUGUAGCGGUGAAAUGCGUAGAUAUAGGAAGGAACACCAGUGGCGAAGGCGACCACCUGGGCUCAUACUGACACUGAGGUGCGAAAGCGUGGGGAGCAAACAGG